This 297-nucleotide ribosomal RNA is filed under the name uncultured bacterium. RNAcentral describes it as "partial 16S ribosomal RNA". It matches the Rfam family "Bacterial small subunit ribosomal RNA", at positions 333 to 628 of the family's 1533-position model. The record is from RNAcentral.
CUGGUCCUGCGGGGGGCAGCAGUGAGGAAUAUUGGUCAAUGGCCGAGAGGCUGAACCAGCCAAGUCGCGUGAGGGAAGACGGCCCUACGGGUUGUAAACCUCUUUUGUCGGGGAGCAAAGCGAACCACGUGUGGUUCAUUGAGAGUACCCGAAGAAAAAGCAUCGGCUAACUCCGUGCCAGCAGCCGCGGUAAUACGGAGGAUGCGAGCGUUAUCCGGAUUUAUUGGGUUUAAAGGGUGCGCAGGCGGGAGGUCAAGUCAGCGGUAAAAUGUCGGGGCUCAACCCCGGCCGGCCGUU